Molecule: ribosomal RNA, 897 nt
Filed under: Bacillus tequilensis
Lineage: Bacteria; Bacillati; Bacillota; Bacilli; Caryophanales; Bacillaceae
Description: bacterial SSU rRNA
Rfam family: Bacterial small subunit ribosomal RNA
Source: RNAcentral
AUGCAGUCGAGCGGACAGAUGGGAGCUUGCUCCCUGAUGUUAGCGGCGGACGGGUGAGUAACACGUGGGUAACCUGCCUGUAAGACUGGGAUAACUCCGGGAAACCGGGGCUAAUACCGGAUGGUUGUUUGAACCGCAUGGUUCAAACAUAAAAGGUGGCUUCGGCUACCACUUACAGAUGGACCCGCGGCGCAUUAGCUAGUUGGUGAGGUAACGGCUCACCAAGGCAACGAUGCGUAGCCGACCUGAGAGGGUGAUCGGCCACACUGGGACUGAGACACGGCCCAGACUCCUACGGGAGGCAGCAGUAGGGAAUCUUCCGCAAUGGACGAAAGUCUGACGGAGCAACGCCGCGUGAGUGAUGAAGGUUUUCGGAUCGUAAAGCUCUGUUGUUAGGGAAGAACAAGUACCGUUCGAAUAGGGCGGUACCUUGACGGUACCUAACCAGAAAGCCACGGCUAACUACGUGCCAGCAGCCGCGGUAAUACGUAGGUGGCAAGCGUUGUCCGGAAUUAUUGGGCGUAAAGGGCUCGCAGGCGGUUUCUUAAGUCUGAUGUGAAAGCCCCCGGCUCAACCGGGGAGGGUCAUUGGAAACUGGGGAACUUGAGUGCAGAAGAGGAGAGUGGAAUUCCACGUGUAGCGGUGAAAUGCGUAGAGAUGUGGAGGAACACCAGUGGCGAAGGCGACUCUCUGGUCUGUAACUGACGCUGAGGAGCGAAAGCGUGGGGAGCGAACAGGAUUAGAUACCCUGGUAGUCCACGCCGUAAACGAUGAGUGCUAAGUGUUAGGGGGUUUCCGCCCCUUAGUGCUGCAGCUAACGCAUUAAGCACUCCGCCUGGGGAGUACGGUCGCAAGACUGAAACUCAAAGGAAUUGACGGGGGCCCGCACAAGCGGUG